CAGCCGCCACGGGAAUACGAAGGGGGCUAGCGUUGCUCGGAAUGACUGGGCGUAAAGGGCGCGUAAGCGGAUGGCACAGUCAGAUGUGAAAUUCCCGGGCUUAACCUGGGGGCUGCACUUGAUACGUGUUGUCUAGAGUGAGGAAGAGGGUCGUGGAAUUCCCAGUGUAGAGGUGAAAUUCGUAGAUAUUGGGAAGAACACCGGUGGCGAAGGCGGCGACCUGGUCCUUUACUGACGCUGAGGCGCGAAAGCGUGGGGAGCAAACAGGAUUAGAUACCCCCGUAGUCCCUGUCUCUUAUAC
RNAcentral lists this ribosomal RNA (301 nucleotides) under uncultured bacterium. Its description in RNAcentral is "partial 16S ribosomal RNA". It matches the Rfam family "Bacterial small subunit ribosomal RNA", at positions 509 to 807 of the family's 1533-position model. The record is from RNAcentral.